GCCUGCUAUCUCUUACCCAUGUCUUUUAAGUACCUUCGUUUCCUCGGCGGGUUCGCCCGCCGAUUGGACAAUUUAAACCAUUUGCAGUUGCAAUCAGCGUCUGAAAAAACUUAAUAGUUACAACUUUCAACAACGGAUCUCUUGGUUCUGGCAUCGAUGAAGAACGCAGCGAAAUGCGAUAAGUAGUGUGAAUUGCAGAAUUCAGUGAAUCAUCGAAUCUUUGAACGCACAUUGCGCCCCUUGGUAUUCCAUGGGGCAUGCCUGUUCGAGCGUCAUUUGUACCUUCAAGCUCUGCUUGGUGUUGGGUGUUUGUCUCGCCUCUGCGUGUAGACUCGCCUCAAAACAAUUGGCAGCCGGCGUAUUGAUUUCGGAGCGCAGUACAUCUCGCGCUUUGCACUCAUAACGACGACGUCCAAAAGUACAUUUUUACACUCUUGACCUCGGAUCAGGUAGGGAUACCCGCUGAACUUAAGCAUAUCAA
RNAcentral lists this ribosomal RNA (481 nucleotides) under Didymella sp. minfeng12. RNAcentral's name for it is "eukaryotic LSU rRNA". The stretch from base 122 to 275 matches the Rfam family "5.8S ribosomal RNA". Lineage: Eukaryota; Fungi; Ascomycota; Dothideomycetes; Pleosporales; Didymellaceae. The record is from RNAcentral.